GAACAAUCAAACAAUGGUGCGAACGGUAAAGCGGGAAUUGAUAGACAAUCGAGCAGUUGAAUACCUCACCUUUAAGAAUCGGAUUACCGGUAAUUUGAUUUCCCAUCAUUUUAGCAAUUUCUUUCUUUGUUUUUGCAUUUCAAUUUUGAGUUAUUUAUUUAUUUUGUAUAUUCGGGCCAUUAAUGUCUCUGUUUUUUUCCCCCCAUAUUUGUUUACUUUGAUUAAUUCGUAUUUAGUGAAAAAAUUGAUGAAAGCUCAUUGCAAAAAAUUUCUAUACUUCGAUUUGUUUUGUCUUCAUAUACUGGAAAAAAAUUGAGUGUUUUAAUCUUUAAUUUAAUUUUCUUCCAGAAUGGCUGCUUCUAGGAAGUGGAUAAAAUCACUCAUUGGUCUGAAGAAGUCGGGAUCAAAUGACCGUGCAAGCUAAUAAUCUUUGUAUUAUCUUUAUAUGAUUUUUUUUGGUGUUUUAUGCAAUGAUUUUUAUAUUGAACUGUGUUGAGGGCUUGAGCCUAAUAAUCUUUGUAUUAUCUUUAUAUGAUUUUUUUGGUGUUUUAUGCAAUGAUUUUUAUAUUGAACUGUGUUGAGCUUAAUUCAUAUGUAAUGGUGUGUUUGGUUGGGCUUAGUAGUUGUUGUUGACUUCUUUUUGCCUUGUUGGUUUAAUGAUUGUUAUUGUUGUGUCGCCCAUGAGUUGCUCGACGAAAAUGUCCGCUUGUUUCGUGCUAGACUGCUAGGGUUCGCCCCGAAACAAGCACGAGCCACCCAUAGGCCGAGUCCCAAUGGUCGAACUGACGAUAUCACUGUUUUGCCCGUGCUCGCAAAAUUCCUGGAUCCGCCUCUUAUAUUAUUUCAAUUUUAUGACAUGCAGAAUAUUAAUGGUAAUGGUGACUGUCCGUGGGAAUAUCUUCUUAUGCGCCAAGUUUUAUUUGGUAGCGAUACCGAAGAAUCAUUUUUUCAAAUAAUUUAAAGAACAGCAGUGACAAGAAAAUUGGUUUUAGUUGGGGGUUAAUUAGUUUGAUCUUUCCAAUUUCGUUUAAUAAUCAUUCCACUGUUGGAAAAAUUUUAAUUUGUUAUGUGGUCCUACGUAUGUAAUUAAUUGUGUAUAAAGCUAUCUUAAAGUUAAUCUCAAAGUUAAAGUGAUCUAAUAAAGAGAUUCGCUUUGCUACCAAAAA
RNAcentral lists this long non-coding RNA (1166 nucleotides) under Olea europaea subsp. europaea. Lineage: Eukaryota; Viridiplantae; Streptophyta; Magnoliopsida; Lamiales; Oleaceae. The record is from RNAcentral.